UAAAAAAUUGAACGGAUGGCUUAAUUGAUGUCACUCAUACAUAAAACCCUAACGAUAUCGCGAUUUUCAAUUCGUCACCAAACACGACCGCGCAUCAGCGCCAAGUAGGAAAGCUAGUUGCAGAGAAGCAACUGAAAAUCCAUGGCUGACAAAGCUGUGACGAUGAGAACGAGGAAAUUCCUGAAUAACCGGCUAGUCAGUUGGCAAGCAUGAAGGCUCCUCAGAAGUUCAUGGUAUGAAGGCUGAGUUGAAGGACAAGUUGGCAAGCAUACAUGAGGUGAAAGACCAGAAUACGCUAUUUGUCUUCAAGUUCCGUACACGUUUGGGGGGUGGCAAAUCAACUGGGUUUCGGCUGAUAUAUGAUUCCUUGGAUAAUGUGAAGAAGUAUGAGCCUAAAUACAGGCUGAUUAGGACUAAAGCCGGAGAUGCUGCCUGAGGGGGAGGGGGAGAAGUGAGAUCCAAAAGCUAACCUUUUGCAGUAAUACAACUGUGCACUUUCCUUUUGCAGUAAUACAACUGUGCACUUUUUAACUUUUUUUUCAUUACUCUUUCUUAGCUGUCAAACAUUCAAUGAUAUUUUUUUAAUCUUCUUGAUUGAGAUGCUUUCUCUCACGUUUUGAGUUCUGAUGCAAUUGCACCCAUUUCUUUUAUAUU
Manihot esculenta (cassava) is the source of this 654-nucleotide long non-coding RNA. RefSeq lists it as uncharacterized. The transcript has 3 exons. The record is from RefSeq and is a predicted model, not a curated record. Lineage: Eukaryota; Viridiplantae; Streptophyta; Magnoliopsida; Malpighiales; Euphorbiaceae.